RNAcentral lists this ribosomal RNA (274 nucleotides) under uncultured bacterium. Its description in RNAcentral is "partial 16S ribosomal RNA". It matches the Rfam family "Bacterial small subunit ribosomal RNA", at positions 523 to 796 of the family's 1533-position model. The record is from RNAcentral.
AUACGGAGGGUGCGAGCGUUAUCCGGAAUCAUUGGGUUUAAAGGGUCCGUAGGCGGGUUUGUAAGUCAGUGGUGAAAGUUUUCGGCUCAACCGGAAAAUUGCCAUUGAUACUGCAAGUCUUGAAUUAUGGUGAAGUGAUUAGAAUGUGUAGUGUAGCGGUGAAAUGCAUAGAUAUUACACAGAAUACCGAUUGCGAAGGCAGAUCACUAACAAUAUAUUGACGCUAAGGGACGAAAGCGUGGGUAGCGAACAGAAUUAGAAACCCCUGUAGUCC